UGAUCAGCCACACUGGAACUGAGACACGGUCCAGACUCCUACGGGAGGCAGCAGUGGGGAAUAUUGCACAAUGGAGGAAACUCUGAUGCAGCAACGCCGCGUGGAGGAUGACGCAUUUCGGUGUGUAAACUCCUUUUAUAUGGGAAGAUAAUGACGGUACCAUAUGAAUAAGCACCGGCUAACUCCGUGCCAGCAGCCGCGGUAAUACGGAGGGUGCAAGCGUUACUCGGAAUCACUGGGCGUAAAGCGCGCGCAGGCGGCCUUUUAAGUUGGAUGUGAAAGCCUAUGGCUCAACCAUAGAACUGCAUCCAAAACUAUCAGGCUAGAGUGUGGGAGAGGAAGAUGGAAUUAGUUGUGUAGGGGUAAAAUCCGUAGAGAUAACUAGGAAUACCAAAAGCGAAGGCAAUCUUCUGGAACAUUACUGACGCUGAGGCGCGAAAGCGUGGGGAGCAAACAGGAUUAGAUACCCUGGUAGUCCACGCCCUAAACGAUGAAUGUUAGUCGUCGGGUAGCUAGUCUAUUCGGUGAUGCAGCUAACGCAUUAAACAUUCCGCCUGGGGAGUACGGUCGCAAGAUAAAACUCAAAGGAAUAGACGGGGACCCGCACAAGUGGUGGAGCAUGUGGUUUAAUUCGAAAAUACGCGAAGAACCUUACCUAGCCUUGACAUAUUUAAGAACACUUUAGAGAUAGAGUGGUGCCUUCGGGAGCUUUUAUACAGGUGCUGCACGGCUGUCGUCAGCUCGUGUCGUGAGAUGUUGGGUUAAGUCCCGCAACGAGCGCAACCCUCGUCACUAGUUACUAACGGUUCGGCCGAGGACUCUAGUGAGACUGCCUUCGUAAGGAGGAGGAAGGUGAGGACGACGUCAAGUCAUCAUGGCCCUUACGGCUAGGGCAACACACGUGCUACAAUGGCCAGGACAAUGAGAAGCGAUACCGCGAGGUGGAGCAAAUCUAUAAACCUGGUCUCAGUUCGGAUUGUAGUCUGCAACUCGACUACAUGAAGCUGGAAUCACUAGUAAUCGUAGAUCAGCUAUGCUACGGUGAAUACGUUCCCGGGUCUUGUACUCACCGCCCGUCAUACCAUGGGAGUUGAUUUCACCCGAAGCGGGGAAGCUAAACUGGCUACCCUCCACGGUGGAAUCAGCGACUGGGGUGAAGUCGUAACAAGGUAACCGUAGGAGAACCUGCGGUUG
This 1194-nucleotide ribosomal RNA is filed under the name metagenome. RNAcentral's name for it is "bacterial SSU rRNA". It matches the Rfam family "Bacterial small subunit ribosomal RNA", at positions 301 to 1520 of the family's 1533-position model. The record is from RNAcentral.